Molecule: ribosomal RNA, 1052 nt
Filed under: uncultured Basidiomycota
Lineage: Eukaryota; Fungi; Basidiomycota
Description: eukaryotic LSU rRNA
Rfam family: Eukaryotic large subunit ribosomal RNA (bases 617-1052)
Source: RNAcentral
CUUGGUCAUUUAGAGGAAGUAAAAGUCGUAACAAGGUUUCCGUAGGUGAACCUGCGGAAGGAUCAUUACUGAAGAAACAAGGGUUUUGAGACUGCGUCCUUCAAUUGGGCGUGUGCUCGACUCUUACUCUUUCAUAUCCCAUACACACCUUUGUGCACCAAGGGACCCUUGUGUCCCCUUUUUUUCAUAAAUACCGAGUUAUAUGCAUGUAUAGUUUGUAUACUCUACGGAGUUAUUAUAAAUACAACUUUCAACAACGGAUCUCUUGGCUUUCGCAUCGAUGAAGAACGCAGCGAACGUGCGAAACGUAAUGUGAAUUGCAGAAUUCAGUGAAUCAUCGAAUCUUUGAACGCAUCUUGCGCUCCUUGGUAUUCCGAGGAGCAUGCCUGUUUGAGUGUCGUGAAUAACUCUCAAUUUCAAAUAUUUUUUUUUAAAAAAAAAAAAGAAUAUCUGACAUUGGACUUGGGUGUUGUCGUGUUUCUACGACUCGUCCUAAAUGUAUUAGCGAUCUGCCCUGAUCACACACAAUGUGAUAAGUAAAAAUAAAGCAUUGUUAUGGUUGGGUUUGAAAGAUGGCUUCUAAUCGUCGUAAUGACAAAUAAAAGACCAUGUCGUUUGACCUCAAAUCAGGCAGGACUACCCGCUGAACUUAAGCAUAUCAAUAAGCGGAGGAAAAGAAACUAACAAGGAUUCCCCUAGUAACGGCGAGUGAAGAGGGAAAAGCUCAAAUUUAAAAUCUGGCGGUCUACGGCCGUCCGAGUUGUAAUCUAGAGAAGUGUUUUCCGCGCUGGACCGUGUACAAGUCCUUUGGAACAAGGCGUCAUAGAGGGUGAGAAUCCCGUCUACGACACGGACUGCCAAGCGCUUUGUGAUACACUCUCAACGAGUCGAGUUGUUUGGGAAUGCAGCUCAAAAUGGGUGGUAAAUUCCAUCUAAAGCUAAAUAUUGGCGAAAGACCGAUAGCGAACAAGUACCGUGAGGGAAAGAUGAAAAGCACUUUGGAAAGAGAGUUAAACAGUACGUNAAAUUGUUGAAAGGGAAACGCUUGAAGU